UGAGAAGCCCCGAAGUAUUGCAUGAUAAUAUCUAAGUUCUAAUCCAAAUGAUAGUAUUUUGAGGUGUUGUUUUGAAAAUUCAUCAAAUCGACAGGGAUUUUCAGUCUCGCACUAGGACAGGGAUGACACAUUCGUUUCAAAGUUGAAACAAGUUGCAUCGUAUUUGACGAAUUUCUCAUGACAAUUUUAUAUUUUGCUAUCGCAAUAAUUGGAAAUAACACCAAGCCGUAACUACGUUGUUUCACUGGACUAAAUCUUUAUGGAACUAGUUAGGUCAAUAAAGUUUCGGGUCGCGAAACGAAAAUUCGUGUGUAUGUAGGUAACUUCAGCUAUUAGAGGAUAAGGUAACUUGUAUAUUGUUUCCUUCAAGAGCGCAGAGACAGUUCGUGACCGUAUUUCAUAUUCAACAGAACUUUCUGAAUGUACGAGUUUCGACCUCAUCAGCAUUUUGAUAAUGCAUUUUGAUGUUGAUACUGUGUAUGCGAAUAAGAUCUCUGCGGACGAUUCAGCCGACGGAAAGACAAACCUUUGAAUCUGAUAUUUGUGCGGUUAUUGUGUCUACAAUUCCACCGUCCAGAUCGAAUCCAAGAACCUAAGACUUCCUCCUCAUACAGCUGCUGUCACAGGAACGAUGCUGAUUACCCCGAGCACGAGGACUCAAAUAGGAUCUGAAGCUCCCAAGAACAGUCCACGAUGCCAGCCACACGGCGCCUACUUGCUCUGUUCGAUGCAGCAGCAUUCGGUUAUUUUUGGCUAAUCAGAUUCCUCCUGUCAUUCUGUGAACUGGAGUACAUAUAAAGUACAAAAAUUACAUGGGUCCCAUAAUCAUCAUCGCCUCGAUUAUAGGAAACAAAAAUCUUGUGGCUCAAUUGAUUACAGCCGGGGCGAAUAUAGAAUGUAAAGACAAUGGCGGGAAUACUCCAAUCAUCAUCGCCUCGACUAAUGGACACCAAGAGGUGGUGGAUCUAUUGAUUAAAGCGGGGGCGAAUAUAGAAUGUAAAGACAAGUACGGGCAUACUCCAAUCAUCAUCGCCUCGAUUAAAGGACACCAAGAGGUGGUGGAUCUAUUGAUUAAAGCGGGGGCGAAUAUAGAUCAUGCCAACGAUGAGGGAAGAACUCCUAUAGGGUGUGUAUCGAUUGAAGGACACCAAGAGGUGGUGGAUCUAUUGAUUAAAGCGGGGGCGAAUAUAGAAUGUAAAGACAAUGGCGGGAAUACUCCAAUCAUCAUCGCCUCGAUUAAAGGACACCAAGAGGUGGUGGAUCUAUUGAUUAAAUCGGGGGCGAAUAUAGAAUGUAAAGACAAGGACGGGCAUACUCCAAUCAUCUUUGCCUCGGCUAAUGGACACCAAGAGGUGGUGGAUCUAUUGAUUAAAGCGGGGGCGAAUAUAGAAUGUAAAGACAAUGGCGAGAAUACUCCAAUCAUCAUCGCCUCGAUUAAAGGACACCAAGAGGUGGUGGAUCUAUUGAUUAAAGCGGGGGCGAAUAUAGAAUGUAAAGACAAUGGCGAGAAUACUCCAAUCAUCUUUGCCUCGAUUAAAGGACACCAAGAGGUAGUGGAUCUAUUGAUUAAAGCGGGGGCGAAUAUAGAAUGUAAAGACAAGGACGGAGAUACUCCAAUCAUCUUUGCCUCGGCUAAUGGACACCAAGAGGUGGUGGAUCUAUUGAUUAAAGCGGGGGCGGAUAUAGAAUGUAGAAACAUUAGCGGGAAUACUCCAAUCAUCAUCGCCUCGAUUGAUGGACACCAAGAGGUGGUGGAUCUUUUGAUUAAAGCGGGGGCGGAUAUAGAAUGUAAAGACAAUGGCGAGAAUACUCCAAUCAUCAUCGCCUCGAUUGAUGGACACCAAGAGGUGGUGGAUCUAUUGAUUAAAGCGGGGGCGAAUAUAGAAUGUAAAGACAAGGACGGGAAUACACCAAUCAUCAUCGCCUCGAUUAAAGAACACCAAGAGGUGGUGGAUCUAUUGAUUAAAGCGGGGGCGAAUAUAGAAUGUAAAGACAAUGGCGGGAAUACUCCAAUCAUCAUCGCCUCGAUUAAAGGACACCAAGAGGUGGUGGAUCUAUUGAUUAAAGCGGGGGCGAAUAUAGAAUGUAAAGACAAGGACGGGGCUACUCCAAUCAUCAUCGCCUCGAGUGAAGGACAUAAGGAUGUGGUGGAUCUAUUAGUUAAAGCGGAUGCAAUUAUUGAAGUCAGUAACUUUGAAAACGACACUCCGAUAGUUUGCGCAGCUAAAUGGGGUAAUGUUGAAAUUGUUGACGUUUUGUUGAAAGAAGGUGCUUGUUCCAGAAGUUCUAGUUAUGGAUCGCUAUUAAAUAUUGGUGCAACGUUUGGUCGACGACGGGUCGUUGAAUAUCUUUUUAGACGCGGGAUGUCAUUAGAAAUCCGUGACUUGAAAGGAAACACCCCACUUCAAAAUGCUAUCAUAAAGGGUCAUCUCUCAGUGGUCCAACUCCUAAUAAGGAGUGGAGCAGAUACAUCCACAUCACACCCUUCGUCGGAGAGUAUUAUAUAUUCUGCUGCUUCGUGUGGCCAUGCCGAUAUCGUGAAAUACUUGGGAAGCAGUGAUGUACGGAAGUUAUUGGAUUUGCCCAAUGCCAGUGGGUGGUCGCCUAUUGCCAAGGCAGUUUCAGGUGGUCAUUUUCGGACAGUUAGACAACUUCAUCAGCUUGGAGCUGACAUGAACUGCAGUGUAAAUGGAAAAGGACUGCUUCAUCUAGCAGCUGAGUCCGGUUGCCUAGAUAUCUAUCAAUAUCUUAUCAUCGCUGGGCUUGACUGCAAACGACCCAACAUCCAUGGAUUGAAGGCUUAUGAAUGCUUCCCCUUUCAAUCAAAACUUAAUUAUCAAGCAAGCAACCGAUUAGGACAUUCCUGCGAACAAAGUCUCUCUUACGUCAUGUCGCGAUUAAAUGAGCAAUAUGCUACACCCGCGUAUAGAUACAAACUUUCAGAAUUAUCGGGUGUACUGGGACUAGGCAGCGUGAAUAUUAUCGAGGGUGGUGUUUCGGAAACUAUCAUGGGGUUUGUAAGGGAGAAGGAGGUUGUUAAGGGUUUAGAGUUAUGCGGAAGUUCGGCUGAGGGCACGAAGGUUCAGCUGCCUGAUGAAAUGGACUUCCUUGUAUUGGUAUCUCCAUAUCAUCUCUCUCGAAACGAAAUGGUUGAUAAAUUACAUGGAUAUAAGUAUGUAAAAACUAGAACAAUGAAGAACAGGUUUUUAUCAAGUAAAGCACUCCAUGAGGGUGUAAGCCAAAACCUAGAAUCUAGCGCAAAAGCCCAAGAGUCUAAAAAAAGCGGAGAAAUGCUUUUGCAGGCAGUUGCUGGAGGAGGCAGUGCCAGUGUUCCUGUGACUAUCAGAUGGCCCGAUGAUAAACCUUCAAAACGCAUUGUCUCAGAGCAUAUAGUAACAACCUUACCUGUAAAUGAUUGGCCCGAUGAUUGGCAAGAUGAUUGGUCCGAUUCUGCACUACAGAAAGGAGAAUCUGAAAGUGAGGUAACGGCGGACGUUUGUGUUUAUCAACGGACUGGAUACAUCUUAUCUCAAGCUGAUGCUAGAAGAGGAUUGGCCAGUGUUCCUGUGACUAUGAGAAGGCUUGAAAAUAUAUCAUCCAGUCUCCUUAUCUCUGUGGAUCUAGUACCGAUAUAUCAUGUUGAUGAUUGGCCAGACGAUGCUAUCAAGAAGACCUGGAAGAUGGACGAGGACACCUUGAAGAAGAGUGGGUAUAGGCUGGUCCUCAAACCGCCACACAAGGACAGUGAGUACGGACGGUUGCUACCCGAGGAAGACAGAGAAAGAAUGUUGCGGAUCUCCUUCUCUCAUCUAGAACCUGCCACAAUCGCACCUUUGGAUCCAAGAAUCAAAGACGCAUACAUCACAGCAAAGUGUCUGAGGUCACCUAUGGCAUGUGGCGUUGUGAUUAAAGACACGAACGGCGUCAUACAUUUCGUCAGUCACUUCCUUACAAGCUACCUCCUGAAGACAGUCUUCCUUCAUAACAUAGACGACUUCCUUGAGACAAACAGGAGCCUGCCAGAGAUGGUCUACAUCAUCUACAGCCAACUUGAGGAUUACCUCGGCAAGGGCAACCUACCGUUCUACUGGCAGCCCAGCGUCAAUCUGCUGGAAGGCUUGAAACUCAACAUAGCCAAGUCUCAUCAAGUCGCCAAGUUGAUGAAGGCAAUCGUUGGUAGGAUGUCCCGCCUGGAGCGUGGUGAUGAGAACCAUGGUGACGAUGCGAGGGAAGAUGGGCCAGGCAUUGAAGCCGCUGAUGACGAGCCUGACAUAGGUUGUUACAUCGUCAGAUUAGAAUAGCCAGCAAGUUUAUUUCCAGUAAUCUUCACCCCGAUGAACACUUGGUAUUUUGUAUGCGAGACGGAUGCUCCGGUGUAACCACAUCUAUGGUUAUUCCCUGGCCUCACCCAGCCCGGCCAGUUCAAACCACGAGAGUGCAUGUGUACGAAUUGGGCCGACGCGACAGGCGCAGCGGUCGGAAGGGAGUCUCUGGCGGGGUGUCUCGGACUUUGGUUCGACAUCGAAAGCCUCAAGUUCGUCAGGACCUUCAAAGCUAAGUGGCGACACAUUGGCAUUGUUCAUCCCGAUUGAGUUGAAUGAUGGAUGGCAUCCAACGACAAUGCGUAUGAUAUCUACAGGGGGCUUGGCUUACAUAUCCAGACACUCUCAGAUCGGUAUUAUGACAUAGGAAGUUGGAUGUUGCACUCAAUUCCUUUCAUAGUACUUAUGAGUUACUUACACCCUUUGAUAUGCUGACUGCAUGGGUGAACAAAGGUAUGGACUGGUAUAUCUUGUAUUGACAUGUUAACUUGUAUUGAUAUUGUAAUUGCAUGAGGUAGGGUAGCUACCUUAUAACCUUAAUAUCCUUAUGUAUUGAAUUGUAUAAAUUGUAUUGUCAUGUAUUUACAUGUAUAAACUUGUAUCGACUUAUAUUGUAUUAUGUUCGGUGUAACUUUUUAUAAUUAUAUGUGUCACAAUAUUAUAUGGUAGAAGUCAGAAGGCCUAGAGAUUGCAAGCUGUUUGAAGCCAGUCUAUUACUAUCAUAACGUUGUAUUGCAAGAGAGUCACAUUCAUUAUUUGCUAUAUUUUGUGAGUAACAUUUAAGAGUGUGAAGCCUGGUAGGCCCUGUCACAAGUUCUAAAUGAUCAAGUGAUUACGGUUUUAUGUACGCUUGUAAUGACUCUCAUUACAGAAUGACUGCAAACUUGUGGAUGGAAAUAGAUUGAAUACUCGUUAAGGUGAAACUAUAGUGCCUCCAUGUUGCCAGUCAACAAGAAUUCAUCCAAAAUAUCCACAAACUGGUAAAAGUGUUACUCGGAGAACAUAAUAGUUUGCGUUGCGUCCGAACAACAUGUUAUAUGACAAAGACAAGCAAAUGCUUUUACUUCAAUUUUGUGCAGAAAGCUUUGUGUACAUGUACAGUACAUAUAGCGCUUUAGAUAAAAUCACCCGCCAGUCUCUUUCAUAUGAGCCAUUAUCUUGUCCUAUUUGUUGAUGUUUGAAAGAGUUCCGGUGUUCCUAAUACAUUAACAUAAUAAAGAGUGAGUAUAUAGUUUCACCUUAAGGGUUGACAAUAGGUAUCGCCAUUUUGUCGAGUCCUCCAAAUCCUAAAGCCUUUAGAGCUCUUUCAAAACAUAGUGAAAGCUCAUUUCAAGGGCUGGAGUCUGUUUAUUGUUUUCCAGAGAUCAGCUUCCAGUCCAGAUGUUUAAAUGAGCAUUCACUACAUUUUGAAGGUGUUCUAAUUGCUUUUUGAUUUCAAGUUCUAGCCAAAAUGGCGGUAUCUAUAGUCAACCCUUAGUGCACCUUCAGCUUUCUAACAAUUGUUUGGGUGUCUUUUUAGACUUCAAACUAUUUUGAGUUUCUCUCUAACGUUGUUUAAGCCAACUGGCUGGUCUUAAUGACUGAUCAUAAAAUUCAGGUUUAUUUAAGCUACAUGUAUGUAUCUUUUCCCAAUAUAUGUACCGUUAAGUGACAAAACAAUUGCGACUUGAUCACUCAUUGCAACCAUUCCAGCGAAGUGUCCUUGCGAACCAUAUGCAAGUUAUUGUAAACAUUUUCAGUGAGAUUUUGAUUUUUGAAGGCCCAGGUGUCCUUGGUCGAAGUUGUUCAAAGCAAAUCUCCUUUCAUUCAGAGUUUCCUAAAGAGAAUUUCAUCAUGGCAUGGGAAAAAAGAGGUAGUCGCUGUGAAUGGUUGAUUUUGGGUUGUAAACAAUGGCUUGUGUGCCAAACAGGUGGGUUUUGGGUGGAAAGAUUUGUUAGGUUACCAAUCUGGUGUUUUAAAAACUUGAAAGUGGCAAGAUAGGUUUUAUUAAAGUGGUUUGGUGUUAUUAGAUUUACCUUAGUAAAAUUUCAGUUCGAGAUAAGACCACCAUUGAAUAUUCAUAGGUUGCAGUAUCUGGAUCUAUCAACGAGAAGCUUGUCCGAUUAUCUAUAAAAAUCUGCGGACAACGACCACUUUAAUUUCCACAAGUUUGUCGCCAGACUGUCCGGAAUAUCAUAUCCACAUCUGAGAUUCAAAACUGCCCGCAGUAAUUGGUGCGACGUGGGCAAACUUUGGCAAAUGAACUGAUGAAAGUCUUUAACAAAUCAAUGGUGGUUUUGCCUCGUUGGACGAACGAGUCCUUCAGUUCUCACCCCCUAUUCUAGUAGGCGCUGUCUACCCGGCUCAACACUUGCGACAGGCGACACUUCAAAAAAGAAAGUCCUGGCUUUACUGUGUGUUUCUGAACCGAAGUCCGUUGCGAUUAUAUUUUAUAGUUCGGCUAAUUCAAGCCAUUAUAUGUGUACAUGUAAUCAUGUGCAAUUUCGCAAAUCAUUUUGAUUACAGUUCAGUAAUGCACAGAUAGAGGGAGAUAUUGCUUGUAAAUGGAAUGUUCAUAAAAUUCGUGUCCGUCUUCAAGCAAUAAGACUCGAAAUAUGGUUAGACGCUUUAUGUCAUUCGGUACAGAUUCAUCCUAACCGGUGUAGAAGUAGAAAUUGUCUGAGGGAAAAACCAUCCACCCUAUUGUAUUUUGUCAGAUUAUGGUAUUAUGGUUCUUUCGGUGACAUUACCGUCAAUAUGUCAGAGAUUAAAGAGCAUAAUAGAAUCCUUUGCUCCCCCGGAAAUUCUAUCCUGGGACAUUUCAAACUUCUACACCGGACUCAUUGAAAACACUCAUGUCUCGAUAUCGAUAUGAGGGCGGUUCAUGCGGGGGGGGGGGGGGUCUCAGAUGUUCUUAUCUCUUUGAUACUCUCUGUAGUCAAUGUGAGUCUUAGAGACAGCACGUACUUGGAUAUCACUAUGUAUGUUUAUUGUUACUUUUGCGCUGUUUAGUUUAGUUAUCAUGCAGUUUGUAUUCUUAACAUGAGGGACAGGAUUUGCAACACUUACGAAGUGUACUAAGUAUGUAACCAUUAUGAUAAAUGUAUUUUAUCGACGGCUGUCUUUGAUGAGUUCGCUGAGUCCAUGUACUACUAAGUGUGAAAGCCUAUUUACGAGUGUCCCGUAAAUGGAUUCGCCCAGGACUUGAUGAUACUACGUACAGACCUUCGUACCUCGUACUAUGUUGCUUAUAAAGAUUGCGAAACCUCCCUAUUAUUUCAAUAAUUAGAUUAUAGCCUGAGGCAAGAA
This is an RNA transcript of Lineus longissimus, 7610 nucleotides long. It is a transcript of the gene named ankyrin repeat domain-containing protein 50-like, with no coding region annotated. The record is from RefSeq and is a predicted model, not a curated record. The transcript is spliced from 4 exons. Lineage: Eukaryota; Metazoa; Nemertea; Pilidiophora; Heteronemertea; Lineidae.